RNAcentral lists this ribosomal RNA (468 nucleotides) under uncultured bacterium. RNAcentral describes it as "partial 16S ribosomal RNA". It matches the Rfam family "Bacterial small subunit ribosomal RNA", at positions 28 to 507 of the family's 1533-position model. The record is from RNAcentral.
GACGAACGCUGGCGGCGUGCUUAACACAUGCAAGUCGAACGGAAAGGCCCUGCUUUUGUGGGGUGCUCGAGUGGCGAACGGGUGAGUAACACGUGAGUAACCUGCCCUUGACUUUGGGAUAACUUCAGGAAACUGGGGCUAAUACCGGAUAGGAGCUCCUGCUGCAUGGUGGGGGUUGGAAAGUUUCGGCGGUUGGGGAUGGACUCGCGGCUUAUCAGCUCGUUGGUGGGGUAGUGGCUUACCAAGGCUUUGACGGGUAGCCGGCCUGAGAGGGUGACCGGCGACAUUGGGACUGAGAUACGGCCCAGACUGCUACGGGAGGCAGCAGUGGGGAAUAUUGCACAAUGGGCGGAAGCCUGAUGCAGCAACGCCGGGUGCGGGAUGACGGCCUUCGGGUUGUGAACCGCUUUCGCCUGUGACGAAGCGUGAGUGACGGUAAUGGGUAAAGAAGCACCGGCUAACUACGUG